GAUGAAGAACGCAGCGAACUGCGAUAAGUAAUGUGAAUUGCAGAAUUCAGUGAAUCAUCGAGUCUUUGAACGCACAUUGCGCCCCCUGGCAUUCCGGGGGGCAUGCCUGUCCGAGCGUCAUUGCUGCCCUUCAAGCCCGGCUCGUGUGUUGGGUCGUCGUCCCCCCCGGGGGACGGGCCCGAAAGGCAGCGGCGGCACCGCGUCCGGUCCUCGAGCGUAUGGGGCUUUGUCACCCGCUCGAUUAGGGCCGGCCGGGCGCCAGCCGGCGUCUCCAACCUUCUAUUUUACCAGGUUGACCUCGGAUCAGGUAGGGAUACCCGCUGAACUUAAGCAUAUCAAUAAGCGGAGGA
RNAcentral lists this unclassified non-coding RNA (350 nucleotides) under soil metagenome. Its description in RNAcentral is "partial contains 5.8S ribosomal RNA, internal transcribed spacer 2, and large subunit ribosomal RNA". The stretch from base 1 to 120 matches the Rfam family "5.8S ribosomal RNA", at positions 35 to 154 of the family's 154-position model. The record is from RNAcentral.